This 367-nucleotide ribosomal RNA is filed under the name Salmonella enterica. RNAcentral describes it as "partial 23S ribosomal RNA". It matches the Rfam family "Bacterial large subunit ribosomal RNA", at positions 454 to 722 of the family's 2925-position model. The record is from RNAcentral. RNAcentral also lists the same sequence under 2 other names. Lineage: Bacteria; Pseudomonadati; Pseudomonadota; Gammaproteobacteria; Enterobacterales; Enterobacteriaceae.
CAUCCUCCAAGGCUAAAUACUCCUGACUGACCGAUAGUGAACCAGUACCGUGAGGGAAAGGCGAAAAGAACCCCGGCGAGGGGAGUGAAAAAGAACCUGAAACCGUGUACGUACAAGCAGUGGGAGCCCCACCACUAAGCCAGUGGUGAACUCCACAUACGCAUCCUUUGCUGAGGAUACGGUUAACGGAGCGAAAGCGACGUUCAACCUCAAAAGAAGCAGAGGGGGCUUAGUGGUGGGGUGACUGCGUACCUUUUGUAUAAUGGGUCAGCGACUUAUAUUCUGUAGCAAGGUUAACCGUAUAGGGGAGCCGGAGGGAAACCGAGUCUUAACCGGGCGUUAAGUUGCAGGGUAUAGACCCGAAACC